GUGCCAGCCGCCGCGGUAAUACCGGCAGCUCGAGUGAUGUCCAAUAUUAUUGGGCCUAAAGCGUCCGUAGCUGGCCGCGCAAGUCCGUCGGGAAACCCACCUGCCCAACAGGUGGGCGUCCGGCGGAAACUGUGUGGCUUGGAACCGGAAGGCUCAGAGGGUACGUCCGGGGUAGGAGUGAAAUCCCGUAAUCCCGGACGGACCACCGAUGGCGAAAGCACUCUGAGAAGACGGCCUCGACAGUGAGGGACGAAAGCGAGGGUCUCAAACCGGAUUAGAAACCCCAGUGUCC
This 292-nucleotide ribosomal RNA is filed under the name uncultured bacterium. RNAcentral describes it as "partial 16S ribosomal RNA". It matches the Rfam family "Archaeal small subunit ribosomal RNA", at positions 455 to 747 of the family's 1478-position model. The record is from RNAcentral.